GGACGAACGCUGGCGGCGUGCUUAACACAUGCAAGUCGAACGAGAAUCUACUGACGGAGUUUUCGGACAACUGAAGUAGAGGACAGUGGCGGACUGGUGAGUAACGCGUGAGGAACCUGCCUUUCAGAGGGGGACAACAGUUGGAAACGACUGCUAAUACCGCAUGACGCAUUCGGAUGGCAUCAUCUGAAUGCCAAAGAUUUAUCGCUGAAAGAUGGCCUCGCGUCUGAUUAGCUAGUUGGCGGGGUAACGGCCCACCAAGGCGACGAUCAGUAGCCGGACUGAGAGGUUGACCGGCCACAUUGGGACUGAGAUACGGCCCAGACUCCUACGGGAGGCAGCAGUGGGGAAUAUUGGGCAAUGGGCGCAAGCCUGACCCAGCAACGCCGCGUGAAGGAAGAAGGCUUUCGGGUUGUAAACUUCUUUUAAGUGGGAAGAGCAGAAGACGGUACCACUUGAAUAAGCCACGGCUAACUACGUG
This 481-nucleotide ribosomal RNA is filed under the name uncultured bacterium. Its description in RNAcentral is "bacterial SSU rRNA". It matches the Rfam family "Bacterial small subunit ribosomal RNA", at positions 27 to 507 of the family's 1533-position model. The record is from RNAcentral.